GAUAACCGCUGAAAGCAUCUAAGUGGGAAGCCCCCCCCAAGAUGAGUACUCCCAGACUUUGGUCUCGGAAGGGCCGUGCGAGACGAGCACGUUGAUAGGCGGCAAGUGGAAGCGUGGUAACACGUGUAGCUGAGCCGUACUAAUGGCCCGAGAGGCUUGACCAG
Molecule: ribosomal RNA, 164 nt
Filed under: Gemmatimonadota bacterium
Lineage: Bacteria; Pseudomonadati; Gemmatimonadota
Description: partial 23S ribosomal RNA
Rfam family: Bacterial large subunit ribosomal RNA
Source: RNAcentral